Long non-coding RNA from Solea senegalensis (Senegalese sole), 1846 nucleotides. RefSeq lists it as uncharacterized. The record is from RefSeq and is a predicted model, not a curated record. Lineage: Eukaryota; Metazoa; Chordata; Actinopteri; Pleuronectiformes; Soleidae. The transcript is spliced from 2 exons.
UUGGGUUAACAUAAAUAUUAGGGCUGCAAUUUAAGAUUAUUUUUGACCACAAAUCAAAAUUUAGAUUUAGUUUACAAAGAUAUUCAUAAUUUAAAAAGGUAAAAUCACAUUUUAUAAAAAACAAUUAAACAUUAAAUUAACAGAUUAAGUAAAUUUAGCUCAGUGACAAUUUUCUUCUCCACCUAAACUAUUAAUCUUAAUAAUCUUGAACAAAGAACAAAAAAAUUAAAGCAAAUCAUUUCAAAAACAAAAAAGAAAUGAAUGAAUGUAUAGGGCCAGGUAUUACAGCGCUUACCCAUACUUCAGAUACUUUUUUCUAAACUCUUAACACAGACUCACACCUACAAAACACAAUUGGCCAAAUGGAUCAUUUUCUUCUCAAAAACACAUUUUGUUAAAUAUAUACUAACUCUUCAUUUCAAAAUAGAACUCAUCUUUCUCUGCACACACUAACUUUACCAAAACACUGGAAAUCUGACUCAAAAUGCAUUUAUUCUGUCAAAGAAUAACACUUGUUUUCACUUCACAAGGAACAUGCAGUCAAUCAAAGUACACCAGGUUUCCAAAUACUGGCUAUUGUUGACAAUACAAAAACUGCAUAGACUUUUAUGUUUCAGUUUUACAGGUAUUUGCAUGCAAAACAUGCAAUCCACUGUUUUUACACUAAACGUCUUGGUUGGGAACUGUAUGUCCACAUGUAAUGUUCACAUUCAAAAGCAUUCCAGUAAAAAGCAAAUAAUUUUUUUUUCCUUUUACUGUUUAUUACAGAAGGUACAGUAGAAAUACUGUUUACAGUAUGAUAGAACAGAAAAAGUUUUACAGUAUUGCUUACAGUCAACAAAAUAUCCAUGAAACACACAAGAGCAUUCUGAACAAAAAAACAACAGCAAAAAGCCCGGAUAAAAAGGGCGGGAACUAAAAAAAGCACAACAUGACUGUAUCUAAUCUCUGCGAUGUUCAGGGUUAGGCCACAUGUUUUCAUCAACAUCGCAUCGGAUAUUAUCCAAAGGCGAUGCACCUGGGAUAAAACCGCUUGGUAUGUCGGAUCCACCCUUGCAGGGACAUCAACUGUGAUGUCCCUGCAGCCAGCAUCCAUGGCUUCAAGGAGGGACAUCUGGUCAUGUGGCUGAUGGUCAUAAACCUUCCACCUCCAUGCAGAAAAGAACUCCUCUAUGGGGUUGAGGAAAGGUGAAUAGGGUGGAAGGAAGAGACGUACCCUUGGGUGGACUUCAAACCAUGUUGUUAUUGCUUGCGAAUGAUGAAGAGCCACAUUGUCCCAGGUGAUUACAAAGGUCCUCAUGUUUUCACCCUCCUGAUACUGCUCUGGAACCAGCAGCUGGUGGAGAGCUGGUUGAGAAAGGCAAGGAGGCGCUUGGUAUUGCAGGGUCCAACCUGACAUCUGUGAAGGAGUAAUCCUGCAUUUGCAAUUGCUGCACACAUGGUAAAGUUUGUGUAAAUGACCUUUAAUAUGCCACAGCAUAUUCUCAAAAUGUGUUGUUUCUAUAGUUAUUUAUUUCAUAAGUAAUCCAUUUGAAUUAACUUGUUUCCUUUUACCGUUAUUUCCUGUUUUUAGGUUGGUGCUUUUAUUUUGAUAGAGUGUAACCGGAAAAGGAAAAAAGGCAGCGGAUAGUUAAGCGUUCGCACGGCACUUUUAAAACAGGUCUAUUAAAAGUGCAAAAAUGUCAGCUAAUGUCUACUAAUAAGUUCGUUUAGCAGGUGCUAAACGAAUGGCGGAUAAGGGCAAAAGGUCUUACGGUGUGUUCAGAGUGUGUUCAAGGUGUCAAAGGUUUUAAUGGAGCAACGUUACCAUCUAUUCAGCUCAAAAAUAAACACUUGUAACCCAUCA